GGGAAGCUGGAGGCUUUUUCCAGACUCUGUCUCCUCGUAGGUUAUUCUUGUGCUUAUUUCCCUCUGCUGCGAAGGGAAAAUAAAAGCCACAGAGCAUUUUAAGCUGCCGGUGUUGUGUUCCCAGCACAAAACACCUUGAGUAAUUUCCUACCUCUGCCUCCGCAGCGCUGGUGUUGCCUCACCUACGCUUCGAGGGGCCGAGGCGGCUUCCCAGACGGACGGCUCUGCUUCCCGUCUGCUCCCUAAAUACCGGCAUUAUCUCCCUCGUCCCAUCAGGAACCCUAAGUUUGGAAAGACCGGACUUUAUAUAGCAUGAGGGAGCCAGCUGCAGUGAGAUUUAAUGCCUCAUGGAAUUGUUAGGCUGAGAGAGGAGGAGGUUUUGCACCUGAAUAUCCACAGCUUGCCCUGUAAUGGAAAGGGCUUGUCUGCUGACUGGAAAGGCUGCCUGGAUGGCAGCAAUAUCCAGCGUGGAAAAAUCCCUGCAGCUGGCAACAAGCUGAGCUAUCAACACUGACAGGACAUCAGGGUCACUCUUGUAGCAAGGUAAAUAAUCAUAGAAUGGCUUGGGCUAGAAGGGACCCCGAAGAUCAUUUCGCUCCCACCCCCCUGCCAUGGACAGGGAUACCUUGCACUAGACCAGGCUGCUGGAAGCCCCGGAAUGAACACCACCAAAAUCACCUGCAGACACCCAAACAGAAACGUGCUGCAUUUGUUGACUAUUGCCAGUCCAAACCCCAUGAAAUCAGGACUUGAAACUAAGCAAUUAUGAGGAGAAAAAAAGGCUUGGCAAAAAAGUUAUGUUCUACAGCUGAUGAAUAUAGGGCACAUGGUUCAUGAAAUAAAGCUGCAUUUUGUCCGUUUGCUUCUGCAGGGUGCAACAAUCUUGCUCUAUCAGAGGUGCUUUCUUAAAAAUAUAAAACAGAAAUUCAUGAAUAACCAGAUAAACAAAGAAGCCGGUAAUUAAAGAACUUACCAAGCAGCAGAAGACUGAUGAUAACAUCGCAAAAGUUUGUAAUACUGUGUGCCAUCAGUAUAACUAGAAAAAUAGUGGUUUAGCAUCUUCUUUUGUGGUUGAUAUUUGAGCAAUAUCCAACAUAUUUUCAUCUGCCUUUUUGUCUAUGUUUCAAUUUCACUCAGAACUGGUGAGCUCUUUAUGAUACCAGGCUUACUAAGUUCUCCAUAUCACUGCUAUAUCCCUUGUCCUUUCUCUUGACGUCCCUCAUCUCUCUUUCACCAUUAAAAAAUAUAGUUGUCAGACAUAAAAAUUUCACUUCUGCAAUUCUAACCAUUACAAUAUGUGUAUAUGUGCAGAAAAUAGAUGUUCUUCAAAUAAAUGUUCUGUAGCCUUCAGCCAAAGCUUCUUGUCACCUGUAUGGGCACAGAGAUCCUGUGAAGUACAAUCAGCCAGGUACUGUCCAGUUGGAGAGUUGUACGGACAGGUCUGUGUCUGUGGGACUGAAAGAUAAAAUGUCCCAUUGAAUUCACUGUAAGAUUUGUAGGAUCAAGCCCACAAAAACAUGGACAACAGAAAUGGCAGAUGGAAGCUGGAUGGCAACAUCAAUGGGGUAGAGUUGCUGUGGGCCACGUCCCCAGGGUGGUUUUCAUGGCACAAAAAUAAACUUGGGGGCUUGUGCUCUUAACAGAAGGAGUAUCUUUAAAUGUGGCAAUUUCUCCACUUUGCAAUUCCUAAUGUGUACACAGGGUGAUUCUCUGAACACACUUCCAGAGUUUGGUUGAACUUCCCAGAAAAAUCUCCAUUGUGGCAGCCCCUCACACUUUAUCUGAGUACCUCCCCUCCAGGCCUGCUAUCUGCAUUUGUCUAAAGAUAACAGCCUUUUUGGCUGGUUCCUGCAGGGCUGGAAAGCACAGCCCACAGAGCUCUAAUCUCUGCAUGGCUCUCACAGGGAGGAACAACGGCUUUUGUCGUCACUCAGUAAUGAGAUAGCAAACCUCAGAUCGCAAAGAAUAAUCACGCUCCCUACAGGAAUUGUUUCCCAGAGCUGACAAGAAAAUGAGCUCUCCAAUCCAACCCAAAGCACAGAGUGCAUGUUUAAGCUUAGCUUCUGAGGAACACCAGUGACUUCACAUGAUUAAGAAGAAGUGAUGUGUAUGUUUGUGUGCUGUGCUGAAACUGGCCCUCCAGCAGCCUGCUGGGAUGCUAGACUGGGAUACAAAGAGUAGAGCUCUGAGGCUUUGCAGAUCCCUGGAAGCCCAGAGGGGAAAUCAGUAGCACCGUGUCCCUGCAGAGCUUCCCCAAGCUCCCCAGGAGCUGGUUCACAGUCACACCACUCUUGUUCUCUCCAUAAAUCAAAUAAUUUCUCUCCUCCCUCAGCAACAGCUUGUAGUGUAACUUCACUACUUCGAAGUCCAAGGGCUUCAGGGCAUAGCAUGAAUUUGAGUGUUCACUCAGCAUGGUAUCAUGCUUUAACUACAUAUUUAUGAUGAAGGCCCUUUUUCAAUCCCUAGUCCUUGCAAAAACACACAAUUAAAAGGCCAUCCAGGACCUCAAAUUUUCGUUGGUUCAAGUCAGCUCCUCUGCUAUGAUGCCAGCAGAGCCAAGCCAGAUGCCAGAUUGCUUUGGAUUGCAUGGCACUGCACAGAGGUGCAAUUGCUUGGUUUUUUUUCAUUCUGAGGUUAGGGAGGUGUGUUUGAUUUUUUUUAUUUGGUUUCCUUGUUUGGUUUUUAAGAGACAACUGUGGUGCUCUCAAAUAAAAGAUUUGUCAUUGAAAGACAAAUCAGUGGUGCAUAGCCUGGAUAUUUUCACAAUCCCCAUGUACAAGCAGAGGUACAACCUGUGUUUUAAGCUUUGAAGAGGUUGCAGUUCCUGUCUGCCCAGCAUUUCAGAGCAGAAAACUCUGCCUGGUUAAGGCUUUAUUGUAGGGAAUGGGGAAGCAAGACUUGAAUCUAUGAAACAUCUGAGUGCUGAGAACAGCCUGUUCUCAAGGGGCUGACUUGCCAGCAAGAUUCCUCACUGCUUCUCAUUAGGAAGGAUUUAAACUCUUUUCUACAUUGUGCUUGUUGGAUUUGAAGCAUGGGAAGGGGCAGGCAUAUCUACUGUGUUUAACAAUUGCAAGAGAGGAAUCAUCAAGGUAGCUAGCAAACAAAACCAGUCACCCAUACCAGACAAACUGGUAAGUUUGCCACUAAGACUUUUCCCUCAAGAAGGAAGUGAAAUUGUGAAUAACCUCAAAAUUCACCUCACCAGUGGCUCACUUGCUGCUCUAUGCACGCACGUCCAGCAAAAAGACCGGCCCACUCCAAAACAUGAAAGGGUCUUGCAGAAGAGUAUGACUGCCACACAUAAGUAAGAUUACCGCAUCAAUGAUCAUUAUUUAAUUAACAUACAAUUAAUCUACAGGCCGUGCUGCAGCCCACAUUUAUAGUUAUUAAUCCUUCAGGUUUCAGCAAGCUCAAGUAAAGACUCACUUUCAGAGCAGUAUUUUUACUCAAAUAAGAGGUUAUUUGUGAGUGAGGCUACUGCUUCAUAUCCAGUAGCUGCUGUCAGUU
Molecule: long non-coding RNA, 3507 nt
Organism: Passer domesticus (house sparrow)
Lineage: Eukaryota; Metazoa; Chordata; Aves; Passeriformes; Passeridae
Exons: 2
Source: RefSeq, a predicted model, not a curated record